AGUGAGAUAGCUGAGUCAAAUGGUGGUUCCAUUUCCAGAUUUCCAAGGAAUCUCCAUACUACUUUCCAUAUCGGCUGCACCAAUUUACAGUCCCACCAGCAAU
RNAcentral lists this microRNA precursor (103 nucleotides) under Marmota monax (woodchuck). The record is from RNAcentral. Lineage: Eukaryota; Metazoa; Chordata; Mammalia; Rodentia; Sciuridae.